RNAcentral lists this long non-coding RNA (348 nucleotides) under Solanum tuberosum (potato). RNAcentral describes it as "long non-coding RNA (STUB_LNC001585)". The record is from RNAcentral. Lineage: Eukaryota; Viridiplantae; Streptophyta; Magnoliopsida; Solanales; Solanaceae.
UCACAUAUAGCUUCACAUAAAACUUAUUCACAUCAUUCCUUCACAUAUAGCUUCACAUAAAACUUUACAUAUAGCUUCAUAUAGGACUUUACAUAUAGCCUCAUUCAUAUAUAAUAAUAUAACAAUACAAUAACACUCAUAUAAUGCCCUUCAUGGCCUCAAUUCACAAUAAUACAAUAUUCCAACAUUAUGCAACAACUUCCCCAAUGCCUUCAUGGCUACAAUUCACAAUAAUACCACACAAGAACAAGAUAUAACACUUCCACCAAAGGUAGAUUCAACCUACCAACAACAAUUAAUUCAAUAAAGAGAGUUCAAGCUUUCUUACCAUAAUUCAAAGCCAUAGCC